This 253-nucleotide ribosomal RNA is filed under the name uncultured bacterium. RNAcentral's name for it is "partial 16S ribosomal RNA". It matches the Rfam family "Bacterial small subunit ribosomal RNA", at positions 524 to 776 of the family's 1533-position model. The record is from RNAcentral.
CACGUAGGGCGCAAGCGUUGUCCGGAAUUAUUGGGCGUAAAGAGCGUGUAGGCGGUUUGGUAGGUCCGCUGUGAAAACUCGAGGCUCAACUUCGAGACGCCGGUGGAAACCAUCAGACUAGAGUCCGGAAGAGGAGAGUGGAAUUCCUGGUGUAGCGGUGAAAUGCGCAGAUAUCAGGAAGAACACCCGUGGCUAAGGCGGCUCUCUAGUACGGUACUGACGCUGAGACGCGAAAGCGUGGGGAGCGAACAGG